Molecule: ribosomal RNA, 253 nt
Filed under: uncultured bacterium
Lineage: Bacteria
Description: partial 16S ribosomal RNA
Rfam family: Bacterial small subunit ribosomal RNA
Source: RNAcentral
UACGUAUGGUGCAAGCGUUAUCCGGAUUUACUGGGUGUAAAGGGAGCGUAGGCGGCGCGUUAAGUCUGAUGUGAAAACCCGAGGCUCAACCACGGGAGUGCAUUGGAAACUGGCGAGCUGGAGUGCCGGAGAGGUAAGCGGAAUUCCUAGUGUAGCGGUGAAAUGCGUAGAUAUUAGGAGGAGCACCAGUGGCGAAGGCGGCUUACUGGACGGCAACUGACGCUGAGGCUCGAAAGCGUGGGGAGCAAACAGG